GGGUGUGAGGGUGAUCUGGCUGCAACAUCUGUCACCCAAUUGAUUGCCAGGGUUGAUUUGGCUAAUCUGGCUGGCUAGGCAGGUGUCCCCUUCCUCCCUCACCACUCGGUGGAAGAGGAUGACGUCCCAGGUAUAGAAGGAGUGUACCGAGGUCUCCAGUCUUCAGUCCCGGGUAUACGAUAA
Molecule: small nuclear RNA, 183 nt
Filed under: Anolis carolinensis (green anole)
Lineage: Eukaryota; Metazoa; Chordata; Lepidosauria; Squamata; Anolidae
Description: 7SK RNA
Rfam family: 7SK RNA
About the family: 7SK was discovered as an abundant small nuclear RNA in the mid-70s but a possible function has only recently been suggested. Two independent studies have found that 7SK RNA binds the CDK9/cyclin T complex (known as elongation factor P-TEFb).
Source: Rfam by way of RNAcentral